UUUUGUAACACUCUAAUCACUCCCAAAUCAACCAAAAACGCAGCUGAGUUCUGAAGUUCGGACAGAUUGCUACCUCUUCACUAAAGUGAGCAUAACUCACUCGUUUCUUGUCCGUUUUAGCUCAUUCUUUUUCCUAUGUGCUUGGAUUGACCUUAGCUUCGAUUCCAUGGGUUUUUCACAGAGAAUAAGUCCCUGGAACUCUGGCAAAUAGGCUCCAAAGUUCACUGUUUUCAUUUAUCUUGACUAAUCCUUGUUCAAACUUUAGUUUAACUCACUCAAACCCACGUCCUUAUGCUUAUAAUCACUUCUAUGGUUAGUUAAGCUUAAAAACGGGGGUGAGACAUACAAAAUCAGAGGUUAAUCCUCAUAUACUUUCUGUUUUGUUUAGGGUUUUUAACCCACAAGUGAUGUUCAAGAUUCAAGCUUGAUGAAGGUGUGAUUAUGGACUAACUUGGGUUGUCCAACAUAGAAUCCCCACAUUACUUGAUGAUUUCUCUUUGUAUAGUUGUUUCUUAUUCUUGUAUUGUUAUUAGUUCAUGACCCUCCUUGUAUGUUUUUACAUCAAGUGUAGUGGUGAACCAUAAGAGGUACCUAAGUGGAAGCUUGUCCUUCCUACCUCCUACAUGACUUCUAUGACACAUUUUGAGGUACCUAAAUGAAGAUGUAAUCUUCUACCUCAUGCUUGAAAUACUUGAAAAAUCUGGACUUAAUAAUAUAAACUAUACAACCUAAAUAAUAUCUAUGCACAUUCGAACCUUUGAUGUUGAACUCAUGUUCAUUUGUCAAAAUAGUAGGACAUCAUCUAAGACCUAAACCUUGUUAUGAUUCUUAUGAGUGCUAAACUCAUGAAAACAUUAUUAUAACCCUUGUGGUUACCAAGUGUCAUACAAGUGUUAUGUGUUGAAGAUGAUUAUUUCACAUGUUAUUCUCAUAUGUUAUUUUCGUUGUUUUAUUCCGAAUCUCGACUCUAAGCAUACUUGAACUUUAACCCUUAUACUUUCGGACAUUAAAUCUCUACUCGUCAACGAUUGGAUAAUCGGAAAGCCUAUGCAAUAUUGUUGAGGACGAUGAUGCUAUGAAAUGAAGUAGCGUUGAUGCCUAGAUACACAUGUAGACGUUUAGGUUUAAUCGUUGUAUCAAUGUUGAUUAUGUUGUAUUGUAUUUCCUUUGAACUUGAUGUUAUUUGAUUUCUUGUAAUGUUGACAAAAGAAUUAUGAAAUGAAAUCGGUUUAUUAAAUAUUGUC
RNAcentral lists this long non-coding RNA (1244 nucleotides) under Helianthus annuus (common sunflower). RNAcentral describes it as "hypothetical non coding rna". Lineage: Eukaryota; Viridiplantae; Streptophyta; Magnoliopsida; Asterales; Asteraceae. The record is from RNAcentral.